Molecule: ribosomal RNA, 930 nt
Filed under: Litchfieldella xinjiangensis
Lineage: Bacteria; Pseudomonadati; Pseudomonadota; Gammaproteobacteria; Oceanospirillales; Halomonadaceae
Description: bacterial SSU rRNA
Rfam family: Bacterial small subunit ribosomal RNA
Source: RNAcentral
UGCAGUCGAGCGGCAGCGGGAGGUGCUUGCACCUCGCCGGCGAGCGGCGGACGGGUGAGUAAUGCAUAGGAAUCUGCCCGGUAGUGGGGGAUAACCUGGGGAAACCCAGGCUAAUACCGCAUACGUCCUACGGGAGAAAGCAGGGGAUCUUCGGACCUUGCGCUAUCGGAUGAGCCUAUGCCGGAUUAGCUAGUUGGUAGGGUAACGGCCUACCAAGGCGACGAUCCGUAGCUGGUCUGAGAGGAUGAUCAGCCACACUGGGACUGAGACACGGCCCAGACUCCUACGGGAGGCAGCAGUGGGGAAUAUUGGACAAUGGGCGCAAGCCUGAUCCAGCCAUGCCGCGUGUGUGAAGAAGGCUUUCGGGUUGUAAAGCACUUUCAGUGGGGAAGAAGGCCUGUCGGUUAAUACCCGGCAGGGACGACAUCACCCACAGAAGAAGCACCGGCUAACUCCGUGCCAGCAGCCGCGGUAAUACGGAGGGUGCGAGCGUUAAUCGGAAUUACUGGGCGUAAAGCGCGCGUAGGCGGCGUGAUAAGCCGGUUGUGAAAGCCCCGGGCUCAACCUGGGAACGGCAUCCGGAACUGUCGCGCUAGAGUGCAGGAGAGGAAGGUAGAAUUCCCGGUGUAGCGGUGAAAUGCGUAGAGAUCGGGAGGAAUACCAGUGGCGAAGGCGGCCUUCUGGACUGACACUGACGCUGAGGUGCGAAAGCGUGGGUAGCAAACAGGAUUAGAUACCCUGGUAGUCCACGCCGUAAACGAUGUCGACUAGCCGUUGGGCGCCUCGAGUGCUUAGUGGCGAAGUUAACGCGAUAAGUCGACCGCCUGGGGAGUACGGCCGCAAGGUUAAAACUCAUAUGAAUUGACGGGGGCCCGCACAAGCGGUGGAGCAUGUGGUUUAAUUCGAUGCAACGCGAGACCUUACCUACUC